ACGGAAGGCAGCAGUGGGGAAUAUUGCACAGUGGGGGAAACCCUGAUGCAGCGACGCCGCGUGGGUGAUGAAGUAUUUCGGUAUGUAAAGCUCUAUCAGUAGGGAAGAUAAUGACGGUACCUAACUAAGAAGCACCGGCUAAAUACGUGCCAGCAGCCGCGGUAAUACGUAUGGUGCAAGCGUUAUCCGGAUUUACUGGGUGCAAAGGGAGUGUAGGUGGUUUGGCAAGCCAGAAGUGAAAACCCGGGGCUCAACCCCGUGGAUUGCUUUUGGAACUGUUGGACUAGAGUGCAGGAGGGGUAAGCGGAAUUCCCAGUGUAGCGGUGAAAUGCGUAGAUAUUGGGAAGAACACCGGUGGCGAAGGCGGCUUACUGGACUGUAACUGACACUGAGGCUCGAAAGCGUGGGGAGCAAACAGGAUUAGAUACCCUGGUA
Molecule: ribosomal RNA, 435 nt
Filed under: uncultured Lachnospiraceae bacterium
Lineage: Bacteria; Bacillati; Bacillota; Clostridia; Lachnospirales; Lachnospiraceae
Description: partial 16S ribosomal RNA
Rfam family: Bacterial small subunit ribosomal RNA
Source: RNAcentral